Molecule: ribosomal RNA, 35 nt
Filed under: ascomycete sp. 14553-sp3
Lineage: Eukaryota; Fungi; Ascomycota
Description: partial 28S ribosomal RNA
Source: RNAcentral
GGACGUGAACGGUCUGCCUUUGUUGUGGAUGCGAA